UACAGAGGGUGCGAACGUUGCUCGGAAUUACUGGGCGUAAAGCGCGUGUAGGAGGUCCGUUAAGUUGGUAGUGAAAUCCCAUGGCUCAACCAUGGAAGUGCUGCCAAAACUGGCGGGCUGGAGUGCCGGAGAGGGUGGCGGAAUUCCCAGUGUAGAGGUGAAAUUCGUAGAUAUUGGGAGGAACACCGGUGGCGAAGGCGGCCACCUGGACGGUAACUGACGCUGAGACGCGAAAGCGUGGGGAGCAAACAGG
Molecule: ribosomal RNA, 253 nt
Filed under: uncultured bacterium
Lineage: Bacteria
Description: partial 16S ribosomal RNA
Rfam family: Bacterial small subunit ribosomal RNA
Source: RNAcentral